UCAGCAGCCGCGGUAAUACAGAGACUGCAAGCGUUAUUCGGAUUCACUGGGCGUAAAGGGUGCGCAGGCGGCCAAGUGUGUGGGGCGUGAAAGCCUGGAGCUUAACUCCAGAAUUGCGCCUCAAACUACAUGGCUAGAGCAUUGGAGAGGGUAGCGGAAUUCACGGUGUAGCAGUGAAAUGCGUAGAUAUCGUGAGGAACACCAGAGGCGAAGGCGGCUACCUGGACAAUUGCUGACGCUCAGGCACGAAAGCGUGGGGAGCAAAAGGGAUUAGAUACCCCUGUAGUCCACGCCCUAAACGGUGCACACUAGGUCUUGGCGGAUUCGACCCCACCAGGGCCCCAGCUAACGCGUUAAGUGUGCCGCCUGAGGACUACGGCCGCAAGGCUAAAACUCAAAGGAAUUGACGGGGGCCCGCACAAGC
This 424-nucleotide ribosomal RNA is filed under the name uncultured bacterium. RNAcentral's name for it is "bacterial SSU rRNA". It matches the Rfam family "Bacterial small subunit ribosomal RNA", at positions 508 to 930 of the family's 1533-position model. The record is from RNAcentral.